GAUGAACGCUGGCGGCGUGCCUAAUACAUGCAAGUCGAGCGAACAGACGAGGAGCUUGCUCCUCUGACGUUAGCGGCGGACGGGUGAGUAACACGUGGAUAACCUACCUAUAAGACUGGGAUAACUUCGGGAAACCGGAGCUAAUACCGGAUAAUAUAUUGAACCGCAUGGUUCAAUAGUGAAAGACGGUUUUGCUGUCACUUAUAGAUGGAUCCGCGCCGCAUUAGCUAGUUGGUAAGGUAACGGCUUACCAAGGCAACGAUGCGUAGCCGACCUGAGAGGGUGAUCCGCCACACUGGAACUGAGACACGGUCCAGACUCCUACGGGAGGCAGCAGUAGGGAAUCGUCCGCAAUGGGCGAGAGCCUGACGGAGCAACGCCGCGUGAGUGACGAAGGUCGUCGGAUCGUAAAGCUCGGUUAUUAGGGAAGAACAAAUGUGUAAGUAACUAUGCACGUCUUGACGGUACCUAAUCAGAAAGCCACGGCUAACUACGUG
RNAcentral lists this ribosomal RNA (497 nucleotides) under uncultured bacterium. RNAcentral describes it as "partial 16S ribosomal RNA". It matches the Rfam family "Bacterial small subunit ribosomal RNA", at positions 28 to 507 of the family's 1533-position model. The record is from RNAcentral.